Molecule: ribosomal RNA, 528 nt
Filed under: uncultured Alteromonadaceae bacterium
Lineage: Bacteria; Pseudomonadati; Pseudomonadota; Gammaproteobacteria; Alteromonadales; Alteromonadaceae
Description: bacterial SSU rRNA
Rfam family: Bacterial small subunit ribosomal RNA
Source: RNAcentral
CGCCUGGGGAGUACGGUCGCAAGAUUAAAACUCAAAUGAAUUGACGGGGGCCCGCACAAGCGGUGGAGCAUGUGGUUUAAUUCGAUGCAACGCGAAGAACCUUACCAAGACUUGACAUCCUGCGAACUUACUAGAGAUAGUUUGGUGCCUUCGGGAACGCAGUGACAGGUGCUGCAUGGCUGUCGUCAGCUCGUGUUGUGAAAUGUUGGGUUAAGUCCCGUAACGAGCGCAACCCUUGUCCUUAGUUGCUAGCAGGUUAACUGAGAACUCUAAGGAGACUGCCGGUGACAAACCGGAGGAAGGUGGGGACGACGUCAAGUCAUCAUGGCCCUUACGACCUGGGCUACACACGUGCUUCAAUGGGGGGUACAAAGGGUUGUGAAGCCGCGAGGUGAAGCUAAUCCCAUAAAACCUCUCGUAGUCCGGAUUGGAGUCUGCAACUCGACUCCAUGAAGUCGGAAUCGCUAGUAAUCGUAAAUCAGAAUGUUACGGUGAAUACGUUCCCGGGCCUUGAACACACCGCCCGUC